AUGAUUAUUUUUUUCAUACAUGUCACAAUUAAAUCCUCUCAUAUCUUAUCAAAUCAUCUUAUAUCUUAUCAAAUUCUUUUGCUUUAGUUGUCCACUCUCUUUUGUUUCCACUUUCUUUUGUUUUUAUGCUGUCAAAAUUCCACUUAGCAAAUCAGCCAAAUCUUUCACACAAACCUCUCACCGUGGAGCUUUUCCCUUCUUCAAUUAGCUUUUCAACAACAAGCUCAUCAUUUUUCUUCUUUCACGGAAGGUUUCUGCUUCUGUAUUUUUACAGAAAGCCUGCAUUGAUUUCAUCUAUGAUAAUCCAAGCAGACACAACCCACACAUAACAACUCUAAUCAACAGGCAAUAGCUUCAUCUGAAAUCCUCUCUCAUCCGUAAAUUGGAGAAAACCAGUCUGCUUUCACGGAGGCUUUGUGACCAGGGGGAUUAGCGCUGCUUUCCCAAGACAUGUUUAUAUGUGAUUAUGAUCUUCAGGCUUUGCCUAACCAGGUUGGCUGGCCGGUGCUGACGGGACGGAGCUGAGGCUAGCGAUAAAUUCCUAUGUUAGACUUCCGCUGUAGCAAUUACUCAUAUCAGUCUUUUGUUUUUCCAACUUAAGAUCUUCAUGUUAAAUUUCAAAUGAUAUACCUGACCGAGCUUAGACUCUUCACUACUAAAUUUAUGCCAAUGAAUGUCGGUUGUCAGAAGCAUGAAACAAAACUUGUGAUCCAAAGGGGCAUAGCCCGACUUUCUAUCCUAUUUCGGGUUUUUACAAGGUUGUUCCUUGUUUAUUUCUA
Molecule: long non-coding RNA, 779 nt
Organism: Salvia miltiorrhiza (redroot sage)
Lineage: Eukaryota; Viridiplantae; Streptophyta; Magnoliopsida; Lamiales; Lamiaceae
Exons: 3
Source: RefSeq, a predicted model, not a curated record